AGUUUUAGUAUUUGGAGGCUGACCUGAACUUGGCAUGCUCUAUAUUAGAUUGCUCAACCUGUCUGCUCCACAGAAACUCAACCCGCUAACCACUGCCUGCUGCUUUCUCUUUUCGUGUUAGCAUACACCCAAAGCCACCGUCAGAUGUCAUGGAGAUGAGACUUCACAAGAGAUAGUCCCCAGUAAGCUGCUGGUGACGAAUCAUUGGGAACAAUGUAAAGAUGUUUCUUGGCCUUCCCUAGCAGACAGGAUGCCUGAGUAUGAGGCCUGCCUUGCCCUGCUCCGAGAGCUGCAGUUCAGGGUACACGUGUGGCUUUGGCUUUCGCUUCCUGAGGCUCAUUUGUUUUGAGAAACCCCAAUAAAGAUGGAUGCCUAAGCUGUGCCCUGGCUCUUCU
Long non-coding RNA from Diceros bicornis minor, 395 nucleotides. RefSeq lists it as uncharacterized. NCBI's taxonomy places the organism in Eukaryota, Metazoa, Chordata, Mammalia, Perissodactyla, Rhinocerotidae. The record is from RefSeq and is a predicted model, not a curated record. The transcript is spliced from 4 exons.